Non-coding RNA from Schistosoma mattheei, 50 nucleotides. The record is from Rfam. NCBI's taxonomy places the organism in Eukaryota, Metazoa, Platyhelminthes, Trematoda, Strigeidida, Schistosomatidae.
AUCCAGCUGACGAGUCCCACAUAGGACGAAACGCGCAUGAUUGGCUGCGU